Molecule: long non-coding RNA, 1512 nt
Filed under: Chrysolophus pictus (golden pheasant)
Lineage: Eukaryota; Metazoa; Chordata; Aves; Galliformes; Phasianidae
Description: lncRNA (ENSCPIG00010000564.1)
Source: RNAcentral
GUGUCGUUGCACACUCAAAGCUGUGGCACACUCAAGUGUCAUUGCACGUCCAAGUUGCGUUUCACACUCAGAUCCCUUUGCACACUCAAAUUCCAUUGCACACUUCCAUCCAGGUGCUGUUGCACGUUCAAGUCGUGUUGCACGCUCAAAUCCCGUUGCACAUCCAAGUGUCCUUGCACACUCAAAGCUGUGGCACAUCCAAGUGUCCUUGCACAUCCAAGUGCUGUUGCACGCUCAAACCUGUGGCACAAGCAAGUUGCAUUGCACACUCAAAUCCCAUCGCACAAUUUGCAUUGCACACUCAACCCUGUUGCACGCUCAGAUCUCAUUGCAAAUUCGAGUGUCGUUGCACACCCAAAUCCUUUUGCACAUCCAGGUGCUGUUGCACAUUCAAGUUGCAUUGCACAAUUCCCGUUGCACACCCACGUUGUGUUGCUCGCUCAGAUCUCCUUGCACACCCACGUGUCAUUGCACACCAGAUCCCGUUGCACGGCCAAGUUGUGUUGCACGCUCAAAUCCCAUUGCACAUCCAGCUGUUGUUGCACGUCCACGUGUCAUUGCACACUCAAAACCCAUGGCACGUCCAAGUUGCACUGCGCGAGUUCUGUUGCACACUCAAAUCCUGUUGCACGCCUAGCUGUUUUUGCACGUCCAAGUUGUGUUGCACACUCAAAUCCCACUGCACAUUUAAGUGCUGUUGCACACCGAAGAGCUUGUUGCACACCCGACCCUGUUGCACACUCAAGUGCCGUUGCACGUCCAAGUUGUGUUGCACACCCAAAUUCUGUUGCACAACCAAGUGUUGUUGCACCUCCACGUUGCAUUGCACAAAUCCCGUUGCACACCCAAGUGUCCUUGCACACCCAAAUCCCCUUGCACAUCCAAGUGCCGUCGCUCACUCACUCAAUCCUGUUGCACACUCAAGCGUCAUUGCACAUCCAAGUUGUGUUGCACGCUGAAAUCCUAUUGCACAUCCAAGCAUCGUUGCACGCCCAUGUUGCCUUGCAAACCCAAAUCCCUUUGCACACCCAGAUCCUCUUGCACGCCCCGGUUGCGUUGCAAGUCCCACUUGUGUUGCACGCCCAAAUCCCAUUGCACAUCCAGGUGCUGUUGCACGCCCAAUCCCGUUGCACAUCCAAGUGUUGUUGCACGCCCACUUGUGUUGCACACCCCCAUCCCUUUGCACACCCAGCUCCAUUGCACACACCCCAACCCCUUUGCACACGCCAAUCCUGUUGCAUGCCCGUGACCCGUUGCACGUCCCAGUUGUGUCACACACCCCAAACUCCUUGCACGUCCCACUUGUGUCGCACAUCCAAGUUGUGUUGCACGCCCCACUGGCUUUGCACGCCCCAGUUGUUGCACACCCCAACCCUGUUGCACACUCAGAUCCUUGCAGCAAGUCCCAGUUGCGUGGCACAUCCAACUUGUGUUGCACACCCCAACCCCUUUGCACACGCAUCGUUGCACAUCCAAGUGCCGUUGCACGUCUCAGUUGCCUUCCACACCUGA